RNAcentral lists this ribosomal RNA (1370 nucleotides) under Salmonella enterica subsp. enterica serovar Muenster. RNAcentral's name for it is "partial 23S ribosomal RNA". It matches the Rfam family "Bacterial large subunit ribosomal RNA", at positions 137 to 1547 of the family's 2925-position model. The record is from RNAcentral. Lineage: Bacteria; Pseudomonadati; Pseudomonadota; Gammaproteobacteria; Enterobacterales; Enterobacteriaceae.
GACUCGUCACACUAUCAUUAACUGAAUCCAUAGGUUAAUGAGGCGAACCGGGGGAACUGAAACAUCUAAGUACCCCGAGGAAAAGAAAUCAACCGAGAUUCCCCCAGUAGCGGCGAGCGAACGGGGAGGAGCCCAGAGCCUGAAUCAGCAUGUGUGUUAGUGGAAGCGUCUGGAAAGGCGCGCGAUACAGGGUGACAGCCCCGUACACAAAAGCGCAUGUGCUGUGAGCUCGAUGAGUAGGGCGGGACACGUGGUAUCCUGUCUGAAUAUGGGGGGACCAUCCUCCAAGGCUAAAUACUCCUGACUGACCGAUAGUGAACCAGUACCGUGAGGGAAAGGCGAAAAGAACCCCGGCGAGGGGAGUGAAAAAGAACCUGAAACCGUGUACGUACAAGCAGUGGGAGCACAGGUUUACCUGUGUGACUGCGUACCUUUUGUAUAAUGGGUCAGCGACUUAUAUUCUGUAGCAAGGUUAACCGAAUAGGGGAGCCGGAGGGAAACCGAGUCUUAAUUGGGCGUUAAGUUGCAGGGUAUAGACCCGAAACCCGGUGAUCUAGCCAUGGGCAGGUUGAAGGUUGGGUAACACUAACUGGAGGACCGAACCGACUAAUGUUGAAAAAUUAGCGGAUGACCUGUGGCUGGGGGUGAAAGGCCAAUCAAACCGGGAGAUAGCUGGUUCUCCCCGAAAGCUAUUUAGGUAGCGCCUCGUGAAUUCAUCUCCGGGGGUAGAGCACUGUUUCGGCUAGGGGGCCAUCCCGGCUUACCAACCCGAUGCAAACUGCGAAUACCGGAGAAUGUUAUCACGGGAGACACACGGCGGGUGCUAACGUCCGUCGUGAAGAGGGAAACAACCCAGACCGCCAGCUAAGGUCCCAAAGUCAUGGUUAAGUGGGAAACGAUGUGGGAAGGCCCAGACAGCCAGGAUGUUGGCUUAGAAGCAGCCAUCAUUUAAAGAAAGCGUAAUAGCUCACUGGUCGAGUCGGCCUGCGCGGAAGAUGUAACGGGGCUAAACCAUGCACCGAAGCUGCGGCAGCGACGCUGAUGCGUUGUUGGGUAGGGGAGCGUUCUGUAAGCCUGUGAAGGUGGCCUGUGAGGGUUGCUGGAGGUAUCAGAAGUGCGAAUGCUGACAUAAGUAACGAUAAAGCGGGUGAAAAGCCCGCUCGCCGGAAGACCAAGGGUUCCUGUCCAACGUUAAUCGGGGCAGGGUGAGUCGACCCCUAAGGCGAGGCCGAAAGGCGUAGUCGAUGGGAAACGGGUUAAUAUUCCCGUACUUGGUGUUACUGCGAAGGGGGGACGGAGAAGGCUAUGUUGGCCGGGCGACGGUUGUCCCGGUUUAAGCGUGUAGGUGUGUGUUCCAGGUAAAUCCGGUU